UACGGAGGAUGCGAGCGUUAUCCGGAUUUAUUGGGUUUAAAGGGUGCGUAGGCGGGCUGAUAAGUCAGCGGUGAAAUCUCCAGGCUCAACCUGGAACCUGCCGUUGAAACUGUUAGUCUUGAGUAUGGAUGAAGUAGGCGGAAUUCGUUGUGUAGCGGUGAAAUGCUUAGAUAUAACGAGGAACUCCAAUUGCGUAGGCAGCUUACUAAGCCAUAACUGACGCUGAGGCACGAAAGCGUGGGUAUCAAACAGG
RNAcentral lists this ribosomal RNA (253 nucleotides) under uncultured Dysgonomonas sp. RNAcentral's name for it is "partial 16S ribosomal RNA". It matches the Rfam family "Bacterial small subunit ribosomal RNA", at positions 524 to 776 of the family's 1533-position model. Lineage: Bacteria; Pseudomonadati; Bacteroidota; Bacteroidia; Bacteroidales; Dysgonomonadaceae. The record is from RNAcentral.